RNAcentral lists this ribosomal RNA (356 nucleotides) under Klebsiella aerogenes. Its description in RNAcentral is "partial 23S ribosomal RNA". It matches the Rfam family "Bacterial large subunit ribosomal RNA", at positions 167 to 561 of the family's 2925-position model. The record is from RNAcentral. Lineage: Bacteria; Pseudomonadati; Pseudomonadota; Gammaproteobacteria; Enterobacterales; Enterobacteriaceae.
UAGGUUAACGAGGCGAACCGGGGGAACUGAAACAUCUAAGUACCCCGAGGAAAAGAAAUCAACCGAGAUUCCCCCAGUAGCGGCGAGCGAACGGGGAGCAGCCCAGAGUCUGAAUCAGCUUGUGUGUUAGUGGAACGGUCUGGAAAGUCCGACGGUACAGGGUGAUAGUCCCGUACACCAAAAUGCACAGGCUGUGAACUCGAAGAGUAGGGCGGGACACGUGGUAUCCUGUCUGAAUAUGGGGGGACCAUCCUCCAAGGCUAAAUACUCCUGACUGACCGAUAGUGAACCAGUACCGUGAGGGAAAGGCGAAAAGAACCCCGGCGAGGGGAGUGAAAAAGAACCUGAAACCGUGU